RNAcentral lists this ribosomal RNA (305 nucleotides) under uncultured bacterium. Its description in RNAcentral is "bacterial SSU rRNA". It matches the Rfam family "Bacterial small subunit ribosomal RNA", at positions 337 to 638 of the family's 1533-position model. The record is from RNAcentral.
UCCUACGGGACGCAGCAGUGAGGAAUAUUGGUCAAUGGGCGAGAGCCUGAACCAGCCAAGUCGCGUGAAGGAUGACGGCCCUACGGGUUGCAAACUUCUUUUGUCAGGGAGCAAUUGAGUCCACGUGUGGGCUUAGCGAGAGUACCUGAAGAAAAAGCAUCGGCUAACUCCGUGCCAGCAGCCGCGGUAAUACGGAGGAUGCGAGCGUUAUCCGGAUUUACUGGGUGUAAAGGGAGCGUAGACGGUUACGCAAGUCUGGAGUGAAAGGCGGGGGCCCAACCCCCGGACUGCUUUGGAAACUGUAU